This is a long non-coding RNA of Galeopterus variegatus (Sunda flying lemur), 1196 nucleotides long. RefSeq lists it as uncharacterized. The transcript has 2 exons. The record is from RefSeq and is a predicted model, not a curated record. NCBI's taxonomy places the organism in Eukaryota, Metazoa, Chordata, Mammalia, Dermoptera, Cynocephalidae.
CACCGAAAGAGAGCCCGUGGAUCUGGAAUUCUCAACCGGUGAAGUGUCAUAUGCUCUAUAACUGUGAUAUUCCGCUCUUCUCCAAAAUUUAAAGAAAAAGUCACAGAGAACGUACCUGGGCCAUGGGAUGCGUCGGAAGGGCACAGACUUACAAGCACACAGGCGCCGAUUCCAGUCCAGAGCCACUUGUUUGUACGACCUCAGGUGAAAUGAAUACAAUAACCUCCUUCAGGAAGUCCAACAGUCUUUAGAUUUGGAGGAAUCAACCGAUGAAGCUGACUGCUGUGUCCAGCAUGUGCAAGGGGAGGAAUUUCAGCUCAGCGAGGGCUCCCCUGGAUCCACCGGCCUCAUCAACCCUCAGAUGGACUUCAGGAAUGGGGAAUGCAGCCUGGCAGCUUGGAUGGCCUGAGUGGAGGGGAGGGGACAGCUCAGCCACAAAACCCAGUUCUUGGCUCUUGGCCUCUUGGCAGGUUUGGAAAAGCUCCUUGUGAGUGGUGGUUCCCAUGACAUCUCCUAGGGACUGAAGCAUGCCAUUGUCUGUUCUUGUCUGUAGAGUUUGGAUCUCUCUUCCUUUAGUUCCUGAACCCGGGAAGUUAAUUCCUUUAUCAGCAUCAAGUUGGUCCCCUUCACACUUUUGUAACCAUCUAUAAGGCUGGGUAUAUUUAAAGAAUCCUUCUCUUGUCUGGGGUUCUAUGAAGAUGACUCAGUCUCUCCAUACUGCUUUUCAUCUGCACUAAGCUUGUCAAUAAGUUGGCAUUUUUCCUGAAUCUGAGCAGCCAGUGUUUCUGCAAGCUGCUUUUCUUGUCUUCGAACAGACUGAAGAAGUCUGGGUAAAAAUAAAAGACCCACCAAUAAGUUGAUAACAGGUGGACGUGCCAGUGUCUCCCACUGCAGGCUGUGGAAAGUGAGCUGUGGACUCAGGCCAUCAAUCAAUAGCUCCACCACCACCUCUCUUAGCUUCUUGAAGGUCAGCCCAAAGCCAAACUCCACAGAGGAUCGCAGCCCCUCCAUGGCACUGCAGCUACCGCAGGGCUCUGUCCCAUAACUGUGGAUCUGGCAGCCACGACAAACCCAGGAAACCCCUCAACAUUCCACCAGGAACUCAACCAAUAACAGGGAGCCUGGACUAGUAACCUAUACGAUCGGGCUGAAGGAGGGUUGGGAGAUUAGUAAAUAAAAUGGGUUUGUCUCUGUUA